ACAGAGAUCACAGAGAAAAAGAGAGAGAAAGAGAAUUGGGGUUCGAGAAAAUCUCUCCCUCUUUUCUCUCUCUUUCUCUGUGAUCUCU
RNAcentral lists this unclassified non-coding RNA (88 nucleotides) under Candidatus Kentrum sp. FM. RNAcentral's name for it is "Candidatus Kentron sp. FM microRNA mir-684". The record is from RNAcentral. Lineage: Bacteria; Pseudomonadati; Pseudomonadota; Gammaproteobacteria.